Molecule: ribosomal RNA, 253 nt
Filed under: uncultured bacterium
Lineage: Bacteria
Description: partial 16S ribosomal RNA
Rfam family: Bacterial small subunit ribosomal RNA
Source: RNAcentral
UACAGAGGGUGCAAGCGUUGUUCGGAAUUACUGGGCGUAAAGCGCGUGUAGGUGGCGAUGUAAGUCGGGUGUGAAAUCCCUCAGCUUAACUGAGGAAGUGCACUCGAUACUGUGUCGCUUGAGUGUUGGAGGGGAUGGCGGAAUUCCCGGUGUAGAGGUGAAAUUCGUAGAUAUCGGGAGGAACACCGGUGGCGAAGGCGGCGACCUGGGUGGAUACUGACGCUGAGGCGCGAAAGCGUGGGGAGCAAACAGG